Molecule: ribosomal RNA, 404 nt
Filed under: uncultured bacterium
Lineage: Bacteria
Description: bacterial SSU rRNA
Rfam family: Bacterial small subunit ribosomal RNA
Source: RNAcentral
UGGGGAAUAUUGCGCAAUGGGGGAAACCCUGACGCAGCAACGCCGCGUGAAGGAUGAAGGUUUUCGGAUUGUAAACUUCUUUGAUGAGGGACGAAACAAAUGACGGUACCUCAAAAACAAGCCACGGCUAACUACGUGCCAGCAGCCGCGGUAAUACGUAGGUGGCGAGCGUUGUCCGGAAUUACUGGGUGUAAAGGGCGUGUAGGCGGGGAUGUAGGUCAGAUGUGAAAUACCGAGGCUUAACUUCGGGGCUGCAUCUGAAACUACGUUUCUUGAGUGUCGGAGAGGAAAGCGGAAUUCCCAGUGUAGCGGUGAAAUGCGUAGAUAUUGGGAGGAACACCAGUGGCGAAGGCGGCUUUCUGGACGAUAACUGACGCUGAGGCGCGAAAGCGUGGGGAGCAAAC